RNAcentral lists this ribosomal RNA (440 nucleotides) under Scaptomyza frustulifera. Its description in RNAcentral is "partial 12S ribosomal RNA". The record is from RNAcentral. Lineage: Eukaryota; Metazoa; Arthropoda; Insecta; Diptera; Drosophilidae.
UAUUAUUUAAAUGUAAUUAUAAACACUAAAGUAGUAAUAGUUAUGUUCUUGAAACUUAAAAAAUUUGGCGGUAUUUUAGUCUAUCCAGAGGAACCUGUUUUGUAAUCGAUAAUCCACGAUGGACCUUACUUAAAUUUGUAAUCAGUUUAUAUACCGUCGUUAUCAGAAUAUUUUAUAAGAAUAAUAAUAUUCAAUAAUUUUUAUUAAAAUUUAUAUCAGAUCAAGGUGUAGCUUAUAUUUAAGUAAUAAUGGGUUACAAUAAAUUUAUUUAUACGGAUAAAAUCAUGAAAAAAUUUUUGAAGGUGGAUUUGGUAGUAAAAUUAUAAAGAUUAAUAAUUUGAUUUUAGCUCUAAAAUAUGUACACAUCGCCCGUCGCUCUUAUUAUUAAGGUAAGAUAAGUCGUAACAUAGUAGAUGUACUGGAAAGUGUAUCUAGAAUGA